ACCACCUAAAUGAUAACGGAAAUACAACCGACAAGCGUUUGACUGGGAAAACGAGAGAAAGAACAGAGUAACAGAAAGAGUAAGGAACAAAAGUCCGGCCAGACCCACCGAUCUGGAUGCAAAACAAACUAGAACAAACGUUACGACGCCAGAUUCAGGCAAAAGAGCUUAAGGUCCUGACUAAACUGAGUGCAGCAUACAGUAUCAUUUUUGCACGAGCACCCUGCUGGCGAUGAUGAAAGCGAUCCU
Molecule: long non-coding RNA, 249 nt
Filed under: Panicum hallii
Lineage: Eukaryota; Viridiplantae; Streptophyta; Magnoliopsida; Poales; Poaceae
Description: long non-coding RNA (PHAL_LNC000885)
Source: RNAcentral